This 649-nucleotide ribosomal RNA is filed under the name Citrus reticulata (mandarin orange). RNAcentral's name for it is "eukaryotic LSU rRNA". The stretch from base 256 to 410 matches the Rfam family "5.8S ribosomal RNA". Lineage: Eukaryota; Viridiplantae; Streptophyta; Magnoliopsida; Sapindales; Rutaceae. The record is from RNAcentral.
UAGAAACCUGCCCAGCAGAACGACCAGCGAACCAGUUGAUAUCACUGACGACGAGAAGGGGGAUGCAUCCGCAGCGGGUGAUCCUCCUUCCUGCCCCACGCUGCGGGGAGAGGGUCUCGUCCCGCUCCCGACUGGCGAAACAACGAACACCCGGCGCAGACUGCGCCAAGGAAAUCUAACGAGAGAGCACGCUCCCACGGCCCCGGAGACAGUGCGCUACGGGGUGCAGUGCCUUCUUUCAAAUGUAUCCAAAACGACUCUCGGCAAUGGAUAUCUUAGCUCUCGCAUCGAUGAAGAACGUAGCAAAAUGCGAUACUUGGUGUGAAUUGCAGAAUCCAUGAACUAUCGAGUCUUUGAACGCAAGUUGUGCCCCAAGCCAUUAGGCCGAGGGCAUGUCUGCUUGUGUGUCACGCAUCGUUGCCCCACCCCACCCCCGCAACCCAAGGCGGGGGCCCCAGGGUGCGGGCAUAGAUUGGCCUCCCGUGCGCUGACCGCUCGCGGUUGGCCCAAAUAUGAAUCCUCGGCGACUGAAGCCGCGGCGAUCGGUGGUGAAACAAAGCCUCUCAAGCUACCGCUGCGCGCCCAGUAUCCAAGUGUGGACUCUACGACCUUGAAGCUCCACGCAAGCGGCGCUCGCAUUGCGACCCCA